GACUUUUAUGUUAUCCAAUCUUUUAUGAUAUUGAAAGUCCUUUGACGUUUCAGUUUGAAGAAGCAGUGAUCGAAAAUAUUGAAAGCCAUCCAGGAGAAUUAACAGACUUAUGUAACCAUUGUACCAAUGGUCAAUUUAGAGAAGCUGUAGUAAGAGGAUCACUACCAGCAAACCCUCCUUUAACUUCUAUUGCUUGCAAUAUACCAUCAACAUGUACCCAGACAAAUGGAAUCGUUUGCGGUAAGAAUGAUAUCAUUCCAAAAAGCUGUCCAGAAACAACAACUGAAAGCCCAUCAACGACAGCUGAAUCAACAACAACCACAGCUGAAUCAACAACAACCACACUUGAAUCAACAACAACCACACCUGAAUCAACAUCAACCACACCUGAAUCAAUUACAACCACACCUGAAUCAACAACAACCGCA
Mytilus trossulus (common blue mussel) is the source of this 428-nucleotide long non-coding RNA. RefSeq lists it as uncharacterized. The transcript is spliced from 4 exons. The record is from RefSeq and is a predicted model, not a curated record. Lineage: Eukaryota; Metazoa; Mollusca; Bivalvia; Mytilida; Mytilidae.